GUCUAUGGCCAUGCUACCCUGAACAAGCCUGAUCCCAUCUGAUCUUGGAAGCUAAGCAGGGUCAGGCCUGGUUAGUACUUGGCUGGGAGACCAUCUAGGAAGACCAGGUGCUGUAGGCU
RNAcentral lists this ribosomal RNA (119 nucleotides) under Pteropus alecto (black flying fox). Lineage: Eukaryota; Metazoa; Chordata; Mammalia; Chiroptera; Pteropodidae. The record is from RNAcentral.